RNAcentral lists this transfer RNA (73 nucleotides) under Micromonospora auratinigra. Its description in RNAcentral is "tRNA_Arg_ACG". It matches the Rfam family "tRNA". Rfam says of the family: Transfer RNA (tRNA) molecules are approximately 80 nucleotides in length. Their secondary structure includes four short double-helical elements and three loops (D, anti-codon, and T loops). Further hydrogen bonds mediate the characteristic L-shaped molecular structure. tRNAs have two regions of fundamental functional importance: the anti-codon, which is responsible for specific mRNA codon recognition, and the 3' end, to which the tRNAs corresponding amino acid is attached (by aminoacyl-tRNA synthetases). tRNAs cope with the degeneracy of the genetic code in two manners: having more than one tRNA (with a specific anti-codon) for a particular amino acid; and 'wobble' base-pairing, i.e. permitting non-standard base-pairing at the 3rd anti-codon position. The record is from RNAcentral. Lineage: Bacteria; Bacillati; Actinomycetota; Actinomycetes; Micromonosporales; Micromonosporaceae.
GCCCCGAUGGCGUAGCGGAGAACGCGUCGGACUACGAAUCCGAAGAUCCCAGGUUCGAAUCCUGGUCGGGGCA